UACGAGGGGUGCAAGCGUUGCUCGGAAUUAUUGGGCGUAAAGGGUAGGUAGGUGGUCUCAUUUGUCUGGGGUGAAAGCCUCGAGCUUAACUCGAGAAGUGCCUCGGAAACGGUGAGACUAGAGUCUUGGAGAGGGUCGUGGAAUUCCCGGUGUAGCGGUGAAAUGCGUAGAGAUCGGGAGGAACACCGGUGGCGAAGGCGGGUCUCUGGGCAUUUCCUGACGCUGAGGUGCGAAAGCGUGGGGAGCAAACGGG
This 253-nucleotide ribosomal RNA is filed under the name uncultured bacterium. Its description in RNAcentral is "partial 16S ribosomal RNA". It matches the Rfam family "Bacterial small subunit ribosomal RNA", at positions 524 to 776 of the family's 1533-position model. The record is from RNAcentral.